RNAcentral lists this ribosomal RNA (496 nucleotides) under uncultured bacterium. RNAcentral describes it as "partial 16S ribosomal RNA". It matches the Rfam family "Bacterial small subunit ribosomal RNA", at positions 28 to 507 of the family's 1533-position model. The record is from RNAcentral.
GAUGAACGCUGGCGGCGUGCCUAAUACAUGCAAGUCGAGCGAACAGACGAGGAGCUUGCUCCUCUGACGUUAGCGGCGGACGGGUGAGUAACACGUGGAUAACCUACCUAUAAGACUGGGAUAACUUCGGGAAACCGGAGCUAAUACCGGAUAAUAUAUUUAACCGCAUGGUUCAAUAGUGAAAGACGGUUUUGCUUUCACUUAUCGAUUGAUCCGCGCCGCAUUAGCUUGUUGGGUAGGUAACGGCUUACCAAGGCGACGAUGCCUAGCCGACCUGAGAGGGUGAUCGGCAACACUGGAACUGAGAAACGGUCAAGAAUCCAAGGGGAGGCAGCAGGAGGGAAUCUUCCGCAAUGGGCGAAAGCUUAACGGAGCAACGCCGCGGGAGUGAUGAAGGUCUUCGGAUCGUAAAACUCUGUUAUUGGGAAGAACAAAUGUGAAAGUAACUAUGCACGUCUUGACGGUACCUAAUCAGAAAGCCACGGCUAACUACGUG